This 305-nucleotide unclassified non-coding RNA is filed under the name Hevea brasiliensis (rubber tree). The record is from RNAcentral. Lineage: Eukaryota; Viridiplantae; Streptophyta; Magnoliopsida; Malpighiales; Euphorbiaceae.
GUUAUUUGUAGAUAGAUAUGACAUCAUUCUUAUAAACGGGUUUCUGGGUUUCGUUUCCUUUUAGAUUUUACAUUGACGACAAACCAGAUUCUUUGUUUAAUCGGUAAUUGUUGAAAAAUGAGAGAAAAUUUUGGAUAUUCUGCAAUACCCUUUAAAAUCUAGUGCUUGUUUGCUGGUCCAUUUAGUAAUUUUGGUGGCCAAGCUUUCAUAUUUUAAAUGGUAAAUUAAUAGUAUUAUCUUUCACUUAGGUUUGUAAAGGAAUACCCCUUGUGAAGUUUAUUUUUGUUCCUAGGAAAAAAAAAAAU